Aotus nancymaae (Ma's night monkey) is the source of this 115-nucleotide ribosomal RNA. The record is from Ensembl. Lineage: Eukaryota; Metazoa; Chordata; Mammalia; Primates; Aotidae.
GGCUGCAGCCAUACCACCAUAAAUGUGCCCGGUCUUAUGUGAUCCUGGAAACUAAACAGAAUUAAGCCUAGUUAAUACUUGGAUGUGAUUCUACUUGUACCAAGUGCUACAGGUU